AGUGAACGCUGGCGGUAGGCCUAACACAUGCAAGUCGAACGGCAGCACAGUAAGAGCUUGCUCCUACGGGUGGCGAGUGGCGGACGGGUGAGGAAUACAUCGGAAUCUACUUUUUCGUGGGGGAUAACGUAGGGAAACUUCCGCUAAUACCGCAUACGACCUACGGGUGAAAGCAGGGGAUCUUCGGACCUUGCGCGAUUGAAUGAGCCGAUGUCGGAUUAGCUAGUUGGCGGGGUAAAGGCCCACCAAGGCGACGAUCCGUAGCUGGUCUGAGAGGAUGAUCAGCCACACUGGAACUGAGACACGGUCCAGACUCCUACGGGAGGCAGCAGUGGGGAAUAUUGGACAAUGGGCGCAAGCCUGAUCCAGCCAUACCGCGUGAGUGAAGAAGGCCUUCGGGUUGUAAAGCCCUUUUGUUGGGAAAGAAAAGCAGCAGGUUAAUACCCCGCUGUUCUGACGGUACCCAAAGAAUAAGCACCGGCUAACUUCGUG
Molecule: ribosomal RNA, 492 nt
Filed under: uncultured bacterium
Lineage: Bacteria
Description: partial 16S ribosomal RNA
Rfam family: Bacterial small subunit ribosomal RNA
Source: RNAcentral